AACGAACGCUGGCGGCGCGUUUUAAGCAUGCAAGUCGGACGGCAAGCACUGUAGCAAUAUGGUGCCUAGAGUGGCGAACGGGUGAGUAACACGUAGGUGAUCUGCCUCUGGAUGGGGAUAGUCCGUGGAAACGACGGGGUAAUACCGCAUAAGGCCCUGGGCGUAGAGGCCGUGGGGUGGAAAGGUGCAAUUGCACCGUCUGGGAUGAGCCUGCGGUCCAUUAGGUAGUUGGCGGGGUAAGAGCCCACCAAGCCGACGAUGGA
Molecule: ribosomal RNA, 263 nt
Filed under: uncultured bacterium
Lineage: Bacteria
Description: partial 16S ribosomal RNA
Rfam family: Bacterial small subunit ribosomal RNA
Source: RNAcentral